Long non-coding RNA from Oncorhynchus tshawytscha (Chinook salmon), 658 nucleotides. RefSeq lists it as uncharacterized. The record is from RefSeq and is a predicted model, not a curated record. The transcript has 3 exons. Lineage: Eukaryota; Metazoa; Chordata; Actinopteri; Salmoniformes; Salmonidae.
CCACGGACCUCCCGGUCGCGGCCAGUUACGACAGAGCCUGGGCGCGAACCCAGAGUCUCUGAUGGCACAGCUGGCGCUGCAGUACAGCGCCCUUAACCACUGAAGCUGCAACAUUUCUACACGGUUCUGACCACCAACACAGACGGAUGGAAAGAGUUUCUACCAUGAAAGCAAAUCGCUAUCCGUUCUAUGCUGUCCAGUGGCACCCUGAGACGAGUCCCUUUGAGUGGGUAGAUAAACCAGGCAUGGUCCACUCUGCUGCCUCCGUCAGAGCAUCCUUCUACACAGCACACAUCUUUGUCUCCGAGGCUGACAUUGUCAAGCAAUCUUCAACCAAUCAGCUGACAUCAACCCAUCAUCAGCCAAUCAGCUGACAUCAACCCAUCAGCCAAUCAGCUGACAUCGUCAAGCCAUCAACCAGUCUGCUAACCUCAUCAAGCAGUCAGCUGACAUCAACCCAUCAUCAACCAAUCAGCUGACAUCCUCAACCAAUUAGCUGACAUCAACAAAUCUGCUGACAUCAUCAAGCCAUCAUCAACCAAUCAGAUGGUGUCAUCAAGCCAUUGUGAAAAGUCCUGAAUAUUCAGAUUCAAGAACACAUGCUUCCAGAACGGGCCCUUUACUUUGAUAGUAUACACUAGAUGGUGCUAUUGUAGCA